This 84-nucleotide microRNA precursor is filed under the name Bombyx mori (domestic silkworm). RNAcentral's name for it is "mir-2807 microRNA precursor family". It matches the Rfam family "mir-2807 microRNA precursor family". The record is from Rfam by way of RNAcentral. Lineage: Eukaryota; Metazoa; Arthropoda; Insecta; Lepidoptera; Bombycidae.
UUAACUCAAAUUUGUAUGCAGUUGGAACAGCGCCCCUAGCGGCAAACGUAGGCAAACAUUCCAACUCCAUACAAAUAUAAGUUA